This is a long non-coding RNA of Passer domesticus (house sparrow), 1390 nucleotides long. RefSeq lists it as uncharacterized. The transcript has 2 exons. The record is from RefSeq and is a predicted model, not a curated record. NCBI's taxonomy places the organism in Eukaryota, Metazoa, Chordata, Aves, Passeriformes, Passeridae.
GCCAGGCUGCUGCUGCACAGCCACCUGCUCACAGCAGCUGUGCUCCCCACCUGUGCGCGUUCCACUGGGACCUGGUUCUUCUGUUCUACUCACACUGUCUGGCAAAUAGCUGCUGUAAUGCUUCCUCUGCCUCCAGAGUGCUGAUUUCUGAAUCUGCCCAUCCAACACAUGGAGCCUCCACAGGAAACAUCCUUGGUCAAUGAUUAAGCUACUAAAAAACUACUGCAGGAUCCAAGCUGCUACACAUAGCUACAGAACGUUAACUUCCACUUACAUAUGGAAUUCCUUCUGUUGCUUUUUGGGACAUUGGCUCCCAGAAACAUCCACUCCUGACAGACACUGAGGGAUCCCAAGGGGUACAGAACAGCCCCAUCACCAUACAAGCUCCUGACCUGGGCACCUGAAGAGCCUUUAGACAGCUGGAGGUGUGAGGUUUGGCUCUUCAGUUACCCUGAUCCUGCACAUUUUUUCCAUAUGGGUUGAUAACGCACGUUUCAGGUGGAUUCCAGACAGAUAGUGUUUACUGAGAUAAAGGAAUGAAAACAUGAAGAAAAAAAAAAAAACUACCUAGGAAUAAUUCUACAGAAUUACAGGAUUCUGUCAAGUAAUUUGAUUACAUCUUUUAGGAGUCUGUUCAUUACACUUCUGGUGGCAAAAGCUCGGGAUAAUGUUGGAAAACCUGCUAUUAGCAUAGUCAGCCUCUUUCUCCAGCUGUAAAACUGGGCAGUUUUAAUACUUCACCCAGGAACACCAAAAGGUAAAAAACAACAGAUUCUUGUGCAAAAGUACAAAACACCACAAUUACAGGCAAGCAGGAAUUAUUUUGUUCUGCAGCUACAGAGUUGCAAUAAAUGAAAUCACAUGGAGGGGAAAUACCUUAGGGUUUGGUAGAUCAAGCUGCAUUGUGAUUUAUGCUCUGGGAAAAGCUAUUAACAUGCUUUUAAUGGAUAAAUUUAGCAUCUAGGGAGUGCUCAAACCCAGGAAUUACACACCAACAGGGAGGGAACACACAAAAGAAGGAACUGCACAGCAGCAGUGAACAGGGGAUGCCUGCCACAGGGAAUCCUGCAGUGAAACAGUUCUCCAUCACUGAUUUCUCUGAGUGAGCCAGCAAAAACUGCAAAUGAGAGCCCAUGAAAAGAGCAUGGAUGAAAGCAAAGGGACAGGUCCUUUCCCCUCCUCAGUCUCUGGUGAUUUGGUUGUAUUUAACAGAUAAUUAAUGCAUUUAAGUCAGAAGAGACUAAUUUAUGUUGGCUGUGCUUCAACAUUACCUUUUUUCUUUCAGUGGAAAAGGACCUCUGUCCUCAGAGCUCUGCACAUCACAAAACAGGCACGUCAGGAGUCAAGGUAAGGCUUCUUCAGGACUCUUGAUUCUCCAAGGCUCCUGAUA